UACGGAGGGGGCAAGCGUUGUCCGGAAUCAUUGGGCGUAAAGAGCGUGUAGGCGGCUCGAUAAGUCUGCUGUGAAAGUCCAGGGCUCAACCCUGGAAGGCCGGUGGAAACUGUCGGGCUAGAGUCCGGAAGAGGCGAGUGGAAUUCCCGGUGUAGCGGUGAAAUGCGCAGAUAUCGGGAGGAACACCAAUGGCGAAGGCAGCUCGCUGGGACGGUACUGACGCUGAGACGCGAAAGCGUGGGGAGCAAACAGG
This 253-nucleotide ribosomal RNA is filed under the name uncultured bacterium. Its description in RNAcentral is "partial 16S ribosomal RNA". It matches the Rfam family "Bacterial small subunit ribosomal RNA", at positions 524 to 776 of the family's 1533-position model. The record is from RNAcentral.